UGGUUGGCGCAGCUACCAUGCAGUCGAGCGGUAACAGAUCCAGCUUGCUGGAUGCUGACGAGCGGCGGACGGGUGAGUAAUGCAUAGGAAUCUGCCCGAUAGUGGGGGAUAACCUGGGGAAACCCAGGCUAAUACCGCAUACGUCCUACGGGAGAAAGGGGGCUUCGGCUCCCGCUAUCGGAUGAGCCUAUGUCGGAUUAGCUAGUUGGUGAGGUAACGGCUCACCAAGGCGACGAUCCGUAGCUGGUCUGAGAGGAUGAUCAGCCACAUCGGGACUGAGACACGGCCCGAACUCCUACGGGAGGCAGCAGUGGGGAAUAUUGGACAAUGGGGGGAACCCUGAUCCAGCCAUGCCGCGUGUGUGAAGAAGGCCCUCGGGUUGUAAAGCACUUUCAGCGAGGAAGAACGCCUAGCGGUUAAUACCCGCUAGGAAAGACAUCACUCGCAGAAGAAGCACCGGCUAACUCCGUGCCAGCAGCCGCGGUAAUACGGAGGGUGCAAGCGUUAAUCGGAAUUACUGGGCGUAAAGCGCGCGUAGGUGGCUUGAUAAGCCGGUUGUGAAAGCCCCGGGCUCAACCUGGGAACGGCAUCCGGAACUGUCAAGCUAGAGUGCAGGAGAGGAAGGUAGAAUUCCCGGUGUAGCGGUGAAAUGCGUAGAGAUCGGGAGGAAUACCAGUGGCGAAGGCGGCCUUCUGGACUGACACUGACACUGAGGUGCGAAAGCGUGGGUAGCAAACAGGAUUAGAUACC
This 750-nucleotide ribosomal RNA is filed under the name Vreelandella aquamarina. RNAcentral describes it as "bacterial SSU rRNA". It matches the Rfam family "Bacterial small subunit ribosomal RNA", at positions 40 to 786 of the family's 1533-position model. The record is from RNAcentral. Lineage: Bacteria; Pseudomonadati; Pseudomonadota; Gammaproteobacteria; Oceanospirillales; Halomonadaceae.